UUGGAGGGCAAGUCUGGUGCCAGCAGCCGCGGUAAUUUCAGCUCCAAUAGCGUAUAUUAAAGUUGUUGCAGUUAAAAAGCUCGUAGUUGAAUUUCGGGGUCAGUAGGUUGGUCAUGCCACUGGUAUGAACUGGUCUCACUGAUUCCUCCUUCCUGAUGAGCCGUAAUGCCAUUAAUUUGGUGUUGCGGGGAAUUUGGACUGUUACUUUGAAAAAAUUAGAGUGUUUAAAGCAAGCUAACGCUUGAAUACAUUAGCAUGGAAUAAUGAAAUAGGACGUUCGAUCCUAUUUUGUUGGUUUCUAGGAUUGACGUAAUGAUUAAUAGGGAUAGUUGGGGGCAUUAGUAUCCAAUUGUCAGAGGUGAAAUUCUUGGAUUUAUUGAAGACUAACUACCGCGAAAGCAUUUGCCAAGGAUGUUUUCAUUAAUCAAGAACGAAAGUUAGGGGAUCGAAGACGAUCAGAUACCGUCGUAGUCUUAACCAUAAACUAUGCCGACUAGGGAUCGGAUGAUGUUAAUUUUUUAAUGACUCAUUCGGCGCCUUACGGGAAACCAAAGUGUUUGGGUUC
This 565-nucleotide ribosomal RNA is filed under the name uncultured Glomeromycotina. Its description in RNAcentral is "SSU rRNA". It matches the Rfam family "Eukaryotic small subunit ribosomal RNA", at positions 548 to 1114 of the family's 1831-position model. Lineage: Eukaryota; Fungi; Glomeromycota. The record is from RNAcentral.